RNAcentral lists this ribosomal RNA (505 nucleotides) under uncultured bacterium. RNAcentral's name for it is "partial 16S ribosomal RNA". It matches the Rfam family "Bacterial small subunit ribosomal RNA", at positions 28 to 507 of the family's 1533-position model. The record is from RNAcentral.
GACGAACGCUGGCGGCGUGCCUAAUACAUGCAAGUAGAACGCACAGUUUAUACCGUAGCUUGCUACACCAUAGACUGUGAGUUGCGAACGGGUGAGUAACGCGUAGGUAACCUGCCUGGUAGCGGGGGAUAACUAUUGGAAACGAUAGCUAAUACCGCAUAAUAUUAAUUAUUGCAUGAUAAUUAAUUGAAAGGUGCAAUUGCACCACUACCAGAUGGACUUGCGUUGUAUUAGCUAGUAGGUGAGGUAACGGCUCACCUAGGCGACGAUACAUAGCCGACCGGAGAGGGUGAGCGGCCACACUGGGACUGGGACACGGCCCAUACUCCUACGGGAGGCAGCAGUAGGGAAUCUUCGGCAAUGGACGAAAGUCUGACCGAGCAACGCCGCGUGAGUGAAGAAGGUUUUCGGAUCGUAAAGCUCUGUUGUAAGAGAAGAACGGGUGUGAGAGUGGAAAGUUCACACUGUGACGGUAUCUUACCAGAAAGGGACGGCUAACUACGUG